AACUUGAGCCCUUGAUUAAUCAGAUUCAAUGUCCAGGAUUAAAACAAAGAGACAGACAUUGUCAAAGACUCUAGACCAUUGAAUCUUGAUUACUCAAAGACUCUUGUUUCCUAUCCUAAACUUAUUUUCUCAUGCAAUCAAAUAAUCAUAAAAAAAGAAGAAGAAAAAGUUUAGGAUAGUAAACUUGAGCCCUUGAUUAAUCGUAUUCAAUGACUAGGAUAUAAACAAAGAGACACACAUUG
Molecule: long non-coding RNA, 242 nt
Filed under: Lathyrus oleraceus (garden pea)
Lineage: Eukaryota; Viridiplantae; Streptophyta; Magnoliopsida; Fabales; Fabaceae
Description: Pisum sativum (pea) long non-coding RNA (PSAT_LNC012695)
Source: RNAcentral